This 373-nucleotide ribosomal RNA is filed under the name Pseudomonas sp. Its description in RNAcentral is "bacterial SSU rRNA". It matches the Rfam family "Bacterial small subunit ribosomal RNA", at positions 138 to 506 of the family's 1533-position model. Lineage: Bacteria; Pseudomonadati; Pseudomonadota; Gammaproteobacteria; Pseudomonadales; Pseudomonadaceae. The record is from RNAcentral.
GGGGGACAACGUUUCGAAAGGAACGCUAAUACCGCAUACGUCCUACGGGAGAAAGCAGGGGACCUUCGGGCCUUGCGCUAUCAGAUGAGCCUAGGUCGGAUUAGCUAGUUGGUGAGGUAAUGGCUCACCAAGGCGACGAUCCGUAACUGGUCUGAGAGGAUGAUCAGUCACACUGGAACUGAGACACGGUCCAGACUCCUACCGGAGGCAGCAGUGGGGAAUAUUGGACAAUGGGCGAAAGCCUGAUCCAGCCAUGCCGCGUGUGUGAAGAAGGUCUUCGGAUUGUAAAGCACUUUAAGUUGGGAGGAAGGGCAGUAAAUUAAUACUUUGCUGUUUUGACGUUACCGACAGAAUAAGCACCGGCUAACUCUGU